Molecule: ribosomal RNA, 467 nt
Filed under: uncultured bacterium
Lineage: Bacteria
Description: partial 16S ribosomal RNA
Rfam family: Bacterial small subunit ribosomal RNA
Source: RNAcentral
ACGAACGCUGGCGGCGUGCUUAACACCUGCAAGUCGAACGGAAAGGCCCUGCUUUUGUGGGGUGCUCGAGAGGCGAACGGGUGAGUAACACGUGAGUAACCUGCCCUUGACUUUGGGAUAACUUCAGGAAACUGGGGCUAAUACCGGAUAGGAGCUCCUGCUGCAUGGUGGGGGUUGGAAAGUUUCGGCGGUUGGGGAUGGACUCGCGGCUUAUCAGCUUGUUGGUGGGGUAGUGGCUUACCAAGGCUUUGACGGGUAGCCGGCCUGAGAGGGUGACCGGCCACAUUGGGACUGAGAUACGGCCCAGACUCCUACGGGAGGCAGCAGUGGGGAAUAUUGCACAAUGGGCGGAAGCCUGAUGCAGCAACGCCGCGUGCGGGAUGACGGCCUUCGGGUUGUAAACCGCUUUCGCCUGUGACGAAGCGUGAGUGACGGUAAUGGGUAAAGAAGCACCGGCUAACUACGUG